AUUCCUACGGGAGGCAGCAGUGGGGAAUAUUGCACAAUGGAGGAAACUCUGAUGCAGCAACGCCGCGUGGAGGAUGACGCAUUUUGGUGUGUAAACUCCUUUUAUAGGGGAAGAUAAUGACGGUACCCUAUGAAUAAGCACCGGCUAACUCCGUGCCAGCAGCCGCGGUAAUACGGAGGGUGCGAGCGUUACUCGGAAUCACUGGGCGUAAAGGAUGCGUAGGCUGGAAAUCAAGUCGAAAGUGAAAUCCGACGGCUCAACCGUUGAACUGCUUUCGAAACUGGUUACCUAGAAUAUGGGAGAGGUAGAUGGAAUUAGUGGUGUAGGGGUAAAAUCCGUAGAUAUCACUAGGAAUACCGAUUGCGAAGGCGAUCUACUGGAACAUUAUUGACGCUGAGGCAUGAAAGCGUGGGGAGCAAACAGGAUUAGAUACCCUGGUAGUCCACGCCCUAAACGAUGCACACUAGUUGUUGCGAUGCUAGUCAUUGCAGUAAUGCACUUAACAGAUUAAGUGUGCCGCCUGGGGAGUACGGUCGCAAGAUUAAAACUCAAAGGAAUAGACGGGGACCCGCACAAGCGGUGGAGCAUGUGGUUUAAUUCGAAGAUACACGAAGAACCUUACCUGGGCUUGAUAUCCUAAGGAUCCUGUAGAGAUACGGGAGUGCUAGUUUACUAGAACUUAGAGACAGGUGCUGCACGGCUGUCGUCAGCUCGUGUCGUGAGAUGUUGGGUUAAGUCCCGCAACGAGCGCAACCCUCGUGAUUAGUUGCUAACAGUUCGGCUGAGCACUCUAAUCAGACUGCCUUCGUAAGGAGGAGGAAGGUGAGGACGACGUCAAGUCAUCAUGGCCCUUAUGCCCAGGGCUACACACGUGCUACAAUGGCUAGGACAAAGAGACGCGAUACUGCGAAGUGGAGCAAAUCUUAAAACCUAGUCUCAGUUCGGAUUGGAGUCUGCAACUCGACUCCAUGAAGCUGGAAUCGCUAGUAAUCGUAGAUCAGAUAUGCUACGGUGAAUACGUUCCCGGGCCUUGUACACACCGCC
Molecule: ribosomal RNA, 1044 nt
Filed under: uncultured Sulfurospirillum sp.
Lineage: Bacteria; Pseudomonadati; Campylobacterota; Epsilonproteobacteria; Campylobacterales; Sulfurospirillaceae
Description: bacterial SSU rRNA
Rfam family: Bacterial small subunit ribosomal RNA
Source: RNAcentral